AGGUAAGCUACUAAGAGCGAAUGGUGGAUGCCUUGACUGGUAAAGGCGAUGAAGGACGUACUAGACUGCGAUAAGCUACGGGGAGCUGUCAAGAAGCUUUGAUCCGUAGAUUUCCGAAUGGGGCAACCCAAUGUAUAGAGAUAUACAUUACCUAUAUAGGAGCGAACGAGGGGAAUUGAAACAUCUUAGUACCCUCAGGAAAAGAAAUCAAUAGAGAUUGCGUCAGUAGCGGCGAGCGAAAGCGCAAGAGGGCAAACCCAGUGCUUGCACUGGGGGUUGUAGGACUGCAAUGUGCAAGAGGUAAGUUUAGCAGAACAUUCUGGAAAGUAUAACCAUAGAGGGUGAUAGUCCCGUAUGCGAAAAACAAACCUUAGCUAGCAGUAUCCUGAGUAGGGCGGGACACGAGGAAUCCUGUCUGAAUCCGGGUCGACCACGAUCCAACCCUAAAUACUAAUACCAGAUCGAUAGUGCACAAGUACCGUGAGGGAAAGGUGAAAAGAACUGAGGUGAUCAGAGUGAAAUAGAACCUGAAACCAUUUGCUUACAAUCAUUCAGAGCCCUAUGUAGCAAUACAGGGUGAUGGACUGCCUUUUGCAUAAUGAGCCUGCGAGUUGUGGUGUCUGGCAAGGUUAAGCAAACGCGAAGCCGUAGCGAAAGCGAGUCUGAAUAGGGCGCUUAGUCAGAUGCUGCAGACCCGAAACGAAGUGAUCUAUCCAUGAGCAAGUUGAAGCUAGUGUAAGAACUAGUGGAGGACUGAACCCAUAGGCGUUGAAAAGCCCCGGGAUGACUUGUGGAUAGGGGUGAAAGGCCAAUCAAACUUCGUGAUAGCUGGUUCUCUCCGAAAUAUAUUUAGGUAUAGCGUUGUGUCGUAAUAUAAGGGGGUAGAGCACUGAAUGGGCUAGGGCAUACACCAAUGUACCAAACCCUAUCAAACUCCGAAUACCUUAUAUGUAAUCACAGCAGUCAGGCGGCGAGUGAUAAAAUCCGUCGUCAAGAGGGAAACAACCCAGACUACCAGCUAAGGUCCCUAAAUCUUACUUAAGUGGAAAACGAUGUGAAGUUACUUAAACAACCAGGAGGUUGGCUUAGAAGCAGCCAUCCUUUAAAGAAAGCGUAAUAGCUCACUGGUCUAGUGAUUUUGCGCGGAAAAUAUAACGGGGCUAAAGUAAGUACCGAAGCUGUAGACUUGCACACAACUUAGAUUAUUUAAGUUUAGAAUAUGAGAAACUAAGUUAUAUGUUUAGUUAUAUUUUUACUGAUUUUUAUAGAGUAAAGAUAGAAAUAAAACUUAGUAAAAUCAGUAAAAAUAUUCUUAGACUAAAGUUAAGUAGUUUAAGUUGUGUGCAAGUGGUAGGAGAGCGUUCUAUUUGCGUCGAAGGUAUACCGGUAAGGAGUGCUGGAGCGAAUAGAAGUGAGCAUGCAGGCAUGAGUAGCGAUAAUUAAUGUGAGAAUCAUUAACGCCGUAAACCCAAGGUUUCCUACGCGAUGCUCGUCAUCGUAGGGUUAGUCGGGUCCUAAGUCGAGUCCGAAAGGGGUAGACGAUGGCAAAUUGGUUAAUAUUCCAAUACCAACAUUAGUGUGCGAUGGAAGGACGCUUAGGGCUAAGGGGGCUAGCGGAUGGAAGUGCUAGUCUAAGGUCGUAGGAGGUUAUACAGGCAAAUCCGUAUAACAAUACUCCGAGAACUGAAAGGCUUUUUGAAGUCUUCGGAUGGAUAGAAGAACCCCUGAUGCCGUCGAGCCAAGAAAAGUUUCUAAGUUUAGCUAAUGUUGCCCGUACCGUAAACCGACACAGGUGGGUGGGAUGAGUAUUCUAAGGCGCGUGGAAGAACUCUCUUUAAGGAACUCUGCAAAAUAGCACCGUAUCUUCGGUAUAAGGUGUGGUUAGCUUUGUAUUAGGAUUUACUCCGAAAGCAAGGAAACUUACAACAAAGAGUCCCUCCCGACUGUUUACCAAAAACACAGCACUCUGCUAACUCGUAAGAGGAUGUAUAGGGUGUGACGCCUGCCCGGUGCUCGAAGGUUAAUUGAUGGGGUUAGCAUUAGCGAAGCUCUUGAUCGAAGCCCGAGUAAACGGCGGCCGUAACUAUAACGGUCCUAAGGUAGCGAAAUUCCUUGUCGGUUAAAUACCGACCUGCAUGAAUGGCGUAACGAGAUGGGAGCUGUCUCAAAGAGGGAUCCAGUGAAAUUGUAGUGGAGGUGAAAAUUCCUCCUACCCGCGGCAAGACGGAAAGACCCCGUGGACCUUUACUACAGCUUGACACUGCUACUUGGAUAAGAAUGUGCAGGAUAGGUGGGAGGCUUUGAGUAUAUGACGCCAGUUGUAUAUGAGCCAUUGUUGAGAUACCACUCUUUCUUAUUUGGGUAGCUAACCAGCUUGAGUUAUCCUCAAGUGGGACAAUGUCUGGUGGGUAGUUUGACUGGGGCGGUCGCCUCCCAAAUAAUAACGGAGGCUUACAAAGGUUGGCUCAGAACGGUUGGAAAUCGUUCGUAGAGUAUAAAGGUAUAAGCCAGCUUAACUGCAAGACAUACAAGUCAAGCAGAGACGAAAGUCGGUCUUAGUGAUCCGGUGGUUCUGUGUGGAAGGGCCAUCGCUCAAAGGAUAAAAGGUACCCCGGGGAUAACAGGCUGAUCUCCCCCAAGAGCUCACAUCGACGGGGAGGUUUGGCACCUCGAUGUCGGCUCAUCGCAUCCUGGGGCUGGAGCAGGUCCCAAGGGUAUGGCUGUUCGCCAUUUAAAGCGGUACGCGAGCUGGGUUCAGAACGUCGUGAGACAGUUCGGUCCCUAUCUGCCGUGGGCAUAAGAAGAUUGAAGAGAUUUGACCCUAGUACGAGAGGACCGGGUUGAACAAACCACUGGUGUAGCUGUUGUUCUGCCAAGAGCAUCGCAGCGUAGCUAAGUUUGGAAAGGAUAAACGCUGAAAGCAUCUAAGCGUGAAGCCAACUCUAAGAUGAAUCUUCUCUAAGCUCUCUAGAAGACUACUAGUUUGAUAGGCUGGGUGUGUAAUGGAUGAAAGUCCUUUAGCUGACCAGUACUAAUAGAGCGUUUGGCUUAUCUUU
Molecule: ribosomal RNA, 3056 nt
Filed under: Campylobacter jejuni
Lineage: Bacteria; Pseudomonadati; Campylobacterota; Epsilonproteobacteria; Campylobacterales; Campylobacteraceae
Description: 23S ribosomal RNA
Rfam family: Bacterial large subunit ribosomal RNA
Source: RNAcentral